Molecule: transfer RNA, 72 nt
Organism: Ovis aries (sheep)
Lineage: Eukaryota; Metazoa; Chordata; Mammalia; Artiodactyla; Bovidae
Rfam family: tRNA
About the family: Transfer RNA (tRNA) molecules are approximately 80 nucleotides in length. Their secondary structure includes four short double-helical elements and three loops (D, anti-codon, and T loops).
Source: Rfam
UCCCUGGUGGGUCAGAUGGUAAAGAAUCUGCCUGCAAUGCAGGAGACCCAGGUUCAAUCCCUGGGUUGGGAA